This 430-nucleotide ribosomal RNA is filed under the name uncultured delta proteobacterium. RNAcentral describes it as "bacterial SSU rRNA". It matches the Rfam family "Bacterial small subunit ribosomal RNA", at positions 1070 to 1499 of the family's 1533-position model. The record is from RNAcentral. Lineage: Bacteria; Deltaproteobacteria.
AGGUGUUGGGUUAAGUCCCGCAACGAGCGCAACCCUCGUCCUUAGUUGCCACCAUUCAGUUGGGCACUCUAGGGGGACUGCCGGCGUUAAGCCGGAGGAAGGUGGGGACGACGUCAAGUCAUCAUGGCCCUUAUGUCCAGGGCCACACACGUGCUACAAUGGGCGGUACAAAGGGUCGCAAACCCGCGAGGGGGAGCCAAUCCCAAAAAGCCGCUCUCAGUUCGGAUUGGAGUCUGCAACUCGACUCCAUGAAGUUGGAAUCGCUAGUAAUCGCGGAUCAGCACGCCGCGGUGAAUACGUUCCCGGGCCUUGUACACACCGCCCGUCACACCAUGGAAGCCAGCUGUACCGGAAGUCGGUGCGCCAACCCGCAAGGGAGGUAGCCGCCUAUGGUAUGACUGGUGACUGGGGUGAAGUCGUAACAAGGUAA